Molecule: ribosomal RNA, 923 nt
Filed under: Hoylesella marshii
Lineage: Bacteria; Pseudomonadati; Bacteroidota; Bacteroidia; Bacteroidales; Prevotellaceae
Description: bacterial SSU rRNA
Rfam family: Bacterial small subunit ribosomal RNA
Source: RNAcentral
AGAGUUUGAUCCUGGCUCAGGAUGAACGCUAGCUACAGGCUUAACACAUGCAAGUCGCGGGGCAGCAUGUUGGUUGCUUGCAACCGAUGAUGGCGACCGGCGCACGGGUGAGUAACACGUAUCCAACCUGCCUAUUACCACGGUAUAACCCGAUGAAAGUCGGCCUAAUCCCGUAUGUAGUCUUCCAAUGGCAUCAGCAGUAGACGAAAGGUUUAGCGGUAAUGGAUGGGGAUGCGUCCGAUUAGCUAGUCGGUGGGGUAACGGCUCACCGAGGCAACGAUCGGUAGGGGUUCUGAGAGGAAGGUCCCCCACACUGGAACUGAGACACGGUCCAGACUCCUACGGGAGGCAGCAGUGAGGAAUAUUGGUCAAUGGGCGGGAGCCUGAACCAGCCAAGUAGCGUGCAGGAUGACGGCCUUAUGGGUUGUAAACUGCUUUUAUGCGAGGAUAAAGUCACCCACGUGUGGGUGUUUGCAGGUAUCGCAUGAAUAAGGACCGGCUAAUUCCGUGCCAGCAGCCGCGGUAAUACGGAAGGUUCUGGCGUUAUCCGGAUUUAUUGGGUUUAAAGGGAGCGUAGGCUGUUUUUUAAGCGUGUUGUGAAAUGUACCGGCUCAACCGGUGAUGUGCAGCGCGAACUGGAAGACUUGAGUGUGUUGUAAGUAGGCGGAAUUCGUGGUGUAGCGGUGAAAUGCUUAGAUAUCACGAGGAACUCCGAUUGCGUAGGCAGCUUACUGUCUCACUACUGACGCUGAUGCUCGAAAGCGCGGGUAUCGAACAGGAUUAGAUACCCUGGUAGUCCGCGCGGUAAACGAUGGAUGCUCGUUGUUGGUAUUUAUAUAUCAGUGACCUAGCGAAAGCGUUAAGCAUCCCACCUGGGGAGUACGCCGGCAACGGUGAAACUCAAAGGAAUUGACGGGGGCCCG